GGGAAUAUUGCACAAUGGGCGAAAGCCUGAUGCAGCCAUGCCGCGUGUGUGAAGAAGGCCUUCGGGUUGUAAAGCACUUUCAGCGAGGAGGAAAGGUUACUGGCUAAUAUCCAGUAGCUGUGACGUUACUCGCAGAAGAAGCACCGGCUAACUUCGUGCCAGCAGCCGCGGUAAUACGAGGGGUGCAAGCGUUAAUCGGAAUUACUGGGCGUAAAGCGUACGCAGGCGGUUUGUUAAGCGAGAUGUGAAAGCCCCGGGCUCAACCUGGGAACUGCAUUUCGAACUGGCAAACUAGAGUCUUGUAGAGGGGGGUAGAAUUUCAGGUGUAGCGGUGAAAUGCGUAGAGAUCUGAAGGAAUACCGGUGGCGAAGGCGGCCCCCUGGACAAAGACUGACGCUCAGGUACGAAAGCGUGGGGAGCAAACAGGAUUAGAUACCCUGGUAGUCCACGCCGUAAACGAUGUCUACUCGGAGUUUGGUGUCUUGAACACUGGGCUCUCAAGCUAACGCAUUAAGUAGACCGCCUGGGGAGUACGGCCGCAAGGUUAAAACUCAAAUGAAUUGACGGGGGCCCGCACAAGCGGUGGAGCAUGUGGUUUAAUUCGAUGCAACGCGAAGAACCUUACCUACUCUUGACAUCCUCAGAACUUUCCAGAGAUGGAUUGGUGCCUUCGGGAACUGAGAGA
This 685-nucleotide ribosomal RNA is filed under the name Shewanella sp. Its description in RNAcentral is "bacterial SSU rRNA". It matches the Rfam family "Bacterial small subunit ribosomal RNA", at positions 357 to 1034 of the family's 1533-position model. The record is from RNAcentral. Lineage: Bacteria; Pseudomonadati; Pseudomonadota; Gammaproteobacteria; Alteromonadales; Shewanellaceae.